This is a non-coding RNA of Pseudoalteromonas atlantica, 47 nucleotides long. Lineage: Bacteria; Pseudomonadati; Pseudomonadota; Gammaproteobacteria; Alteromonadales; Pseudoalteromonadaceae. The record is from Rfam.
AAAUGAGGACGACCUCAUCCCUCGCGCUUUUCUCUGGGACGACCCAG